AACGAACGCUGGCGGCAUGCCUAGCACAUGCAAGUCGAACGAGACCUUCGGGUCUAGUGGCGCACGGGUGCGUAACGCGUGGGAAUCUGCCCUUGGGUUCGGAAUAACAGCGAGAAAUUGCUGCUAAUACCGGAUGAUGACGUAAGUCCAAAGAUUUAUCGCCCAAGGAUGAGCCCGCGUAGGAUUAGCUAGUUGGUGAGGUAAAGGCUCACCAAGGCGACGAUCCUUAGCUGGUCUGAGAGGAUGAUCAGCCACACUGGGACUGAGACACGGCCCAGACUCCUACGGGAGGCAGCAGUGGGGGAAUAUUGGACAAUGGGCGAAAGCCUGAUCCAGCAAUGCCGCGUGAGUGAUGAAGGCCUUAGGGUUGUAAAGCUCUUUUACCCGGGAUGAUAAUGACAGUACCGGGAGAAUAAGCUCCGGCUAACUCCGUGCCAGCAGCCGCGGUAAU
Molecule: ribosomal RNA, 451 nt
Filed under: uncultured bacterium
Lineage: Bacteria
Description: bacterial SSU rRNA
Rfam family: Bacterial small subunit ribosomal RNA
Source: RNAcentral